UGGGGAAUAUUGGACAAUGGGCGAAAGCCUGAUCCAGCCAUGCCGCGUGUGUGAAGAAGGUCUUCGGAUUGUAAAGCACUUUAAGUUGGGAGGAAGGGCAGUAAGCGAAUACCUUGCUGUUUUGACGUUACCGACAGAAUAAGCACCGGCUAACUCUGUGCCAGCAGCCGCGGUAAUACAGAGGGUGCAAGCGUUAAUCGGAAUUACUGGGCGUAAAGCGCGCGUAGGUGGUUCGUUAAGUUGAAUGUGAAAGCCCCGGGCUCAACCUGGGAACUGCAUCCAAAACUGGCGAGCUAGAGUAGGGCAGAGGGUAGUGGAAUUUCCUGUGUAGCUGUGAAAUGCGUAGAUAUAGGAAGGAACACCAGUGGCGAAGGCGACCACCUGGGCUCAUACUGACACUGAGGUGCGAAAGCGUGGGGAGCAAACAGG
RNAcentral lists this ribosomal RNA (429 nucleotides) under Pseudomonadota bacterium. RNAcentral describes it as "Proteobacteria bacterium partial 16S ribosomal RNA". It matches the Rfam family "Bacterial small subunit ribosomal RNA", at positions 355 to 776 of the family's 1533-position model. The record is from RNAcentral. Lineage: Bacteria; Pseudomonadati; Pseudomonadota.